GAUGAACGCUGGCGGCGUGCCUAAUACAUGCGAGUCGAGCGAACGGACGAGAAGCUUGCUUCUCUGAUGUUAGCGGCGGACGGGUGAGUAACACGUGGAUAACCUACCUAUAAGACUGGGAUAACUUCGGGAAACCGGAGCUAAUACCGGAUAAUAUUUUGAACCGCAUGGUUCAAAAGUGAAAGACGGUCUUGCUGUCACUUAUAGAUGGAUCCGCGCUACAUUAGCUAGUUGGUAAGGUAACGGCCUACCAAGGCAACGAUGCAUAGCCGACCUGAGAGGGUGAUCGGCCACACUGGAACUGAGACACGGUCCAGACUCCUACGGGAGGCAGCAGUAGGGAAUCUUCCGCAAUGGGCGAAAGCCUGACGGAGCAACGCCGCGUGAGUGAUGAAGGUCUUCGGAUCGUAAAACUCUGUUAUUAGGGAAGAACAUAUGUGUAAGUAACUGUGCACAUCUUGACGGUACCUAAUCAGAAAGCCACGGCUAACUACGUG
RNAcentral lists this ribosomal RNA (497 nucleotides) under uncultured bacterium. RNAcentral's name for it is "partial 16S ribosomal RNA". It matches the Rfam family "Bacterial small subunit ribosomal RNA", at positions 28 to 507 of the family's 1533-position model. The record is from RNAcentral.